This 486-nucleotide ribosomal RNA is filed under the name uncultured bacterium. RNAcentral's name for it is "bacterial SSU rRNA". It matches the Rfam family "Bacterial small subunit ribosomal RNA", at positions 28 to 524 of the family's 1533-position model. The record is from RNAcentral.
AACGAACGCUGGCGGCGCGCUUAACACAUGCAAGUCGAACGAGAAGGCGUAGCAAUACGCUUGUACAGUGGCGAACGGGUGAGUAAUACGUGGGCGACCUACCCUCGAGUGGGGAAUAACCCGCCGAAAGGCGGGCUAAUGCCGCGUACGCUUCCAUCUUUAUGGAGGUGGAGGGAAAGCCGUGCCGUGGGCACGGCGCUCAAGGAUGGGCUCACGUCCUAUCAGCUUGUUGGUAGGGAACGGCCUACCAAGGCUCCGACGGGUAGCUGGUCUGAGAGGACGAUCAGCCACACUGGCACUGCGACACGGGCCAGACUCCUACGGGAGGCAGCAGUGAGGAAUAUUGCGCAAUGGGCGAAAGCCUGACGCAGCGACGCCGCGUGGGGGAUGAAGGUCUUCGGAGUUGUAAAGCCCUUUCGGCGGAGACGAUGAUGACGGUAUCCGCAGAAGAAGCCCGGCUAACUUCGUGCCAGCCGCCGCCGUAAC